This 74-nucleotide transfer RNA is filed under the name Candidatus Parepulonipiscium sp. PG-Nun2H_MBin03. Its description in RNAcentral is "Epulopiscium sp. Nuni2H_MBin003 tRNA". It matches the Rfam family "tRNA". From Rfam's summary of the family: Transfer RNA (tRNA) molecules are approximately 80 nucleotides in length. Their secondary structure includes four short double-helical elements and three loops (D, anti-codon, and T loops). The record is from Rfam by way of RNAcentral. Lineage: Bacteria; Bacillati; Bacillota; Clostridia; Lachnospirales; Lachnospiraceae.
GCAUCUGUAGCUCAGCAGGAUAGAGCGAGCCCCUCCUAAGGGUUAGGUCGUAGGUUCGACUCCUAUCAGGUGCG